RNAcentral lists this ribosomal RNA (147 nucleotides) under uncultured eukaryote. RNAcentral's name for it is "partial 18S ribosomal RNA". It matches the Rfam family "Eukaryotic small subunit ribosomal RNA", at positions 1465 to 1609 of the family's 1831-position model. The record is from RNAcentral.
UGAUGCCCUUAGAUGUUCUGGGCCGCACGCGCGCUACACUGAAGUGAUCAGCGUGCAUAGGUAACCCGCUCUGACAAGAGUGGGUAACCCAAUGAACCUUCUUCGUGAUAGGGAUUGGGCAUUGUAAUUAUUGCCCAUGAACGAGGA